CGGUUAGUGGCGCACGGGUGCGUAACGCGUGGGAAUCUGCCCUUAGGUUCGGAAUAACUCAGGGAAACUUGAGCUAAUACCGGAUAAGCCCUUACGGGGAAAGAUUUAUCGCCGAAAGAUUGGCCCGCGUCUGAUUAGCUAGUUGGUGAGGUAACGGCUCACCAAGGCGACGAUCAGUAGCUGGUCUGAGAGGAUGAUCAGCCACACUGGGACUGAGACACGGCCCAG
This 228-nucleotide ribosomal RNA is filed under the name uncultured bacterium. Its description in RNAcentral is "partial 16S ribosomal RNA". It matches the Rfam family "Bacterial small subunit ribosomal RNA", at positions 89 to 334 of the family's 1533-position model. The record is from RNAcentral.